RNAcentral lists this ribosomal RNA (119 nucleotides) under Pteropus alecto (black flying fox). Lineage: Eukaryota; Metazoa; Chordata; Mammalia; Chiroptera; Pteropodidae. The record is from RNAcentral. RNAcentral also lists the same sequence under 1 other name.
GUCUACGGCCAUGCCACCCUGAACAUGCCCGAUCUCGUCUGAUCUCGGAAGCUAAGCAGGGUCAGGCCUGGUUAGUACUUAGAUGGGAGACCACCUAAGAAUAACAGGUGCUGUAGGUG